AGAGUUUGAUCCUGGCUCAGGAUGAACGCUAGCGGCAGGCCUAAUACAUGCAAGUCGAACGAGAUUAAGAGGCUUGCUUCUUAUGAAAGUGGCGCACGGGUGCGUAACGCGUAUGCAACCUACCUUAAUCAGGGGGAUAGCCCGAAGAAAUUCGGAUUAAGACCGCAUAAAAACACAGGAUAGCAUUAUCCAAUGUUCAAAUAUUUAUAGGAUUAAGAUGGGCAUGCGUGUCAUUAGCUAGUUGGCGGGGUAACGGCCCACCAAGGCGACGAUGACUAGGGGAUCUGAGAGGAUGACCCCCCACACUGGUACUGAGACACGGACCAGACUCCUACGGGAGGCAGCAGUAAGGAAUAUUGGUCAAUGGAGGGAACUCUGAACCAGCCAUGCCGCGUGCAGGAAGACAGCCCUCUGGGUCGUAAACUGCUUUUAUUCGGGAAUAAACCUUUCUACGUGUAGGAAGCUGAAUGUACCGAAGGAAUAAGGAUCGGCUAACUCCGUGCCAGCAGCCGCGGUAAUACGGAGGAUCCAAGCGUUAUCCGGAUUUAUUGGGUUUAAAGGGUGCGUAGGCGGCUUAUUAAGUCAGGGGUGAAAGACGGUGGCUCAACCAUCGCAGUGCCCUUGAUACUGAUGAGCUUGAAUACACUAGAGGUAGGCGGAAUGUGACAAGUAGCGGUGAAAUGCAUAGAUAUGUCACAGAACACCGAUUGCGAAGGCAGCUUACUAUGGUGUUAUUGACGCUGAGGCACGAAAGCGUGGGGAUCAAACAGGAUUAGAUACCCUGGUAGUCCACGCCCUAAACGAUGAAUACUCGCUGUUAGCGAUAUACAGUUAGCGGCUAAGCGAAAGCGUUAAGUAUUCCACCUGGGGAGUACGCCCGCAAGGGUGAAACUCAAAGGAAUUGACGGGGGCCCGCACAAGCGGAGGAGCAUGUGGUUUAAUUCGAUGAUACGCGAGGAACCUUACCCGGGCUUGAAAGUUAGUGAAUGAUCUAGAGAUAGAUCAGUGAGCAAUCACACGAAACUAGGUGCUGCAUGGCUGUCGUCAGCUCGUGCCGUGAGGUGUUGGGUUAAGUCCCGCAACGAGCGCAACCCCUAUGUUUAGUUGCCAGCACGUUAAGGUGGGGACUCUAAACAGACUGCCUGUGCAAACAGAGAGGAAGGAGGGGACGACGUCAAGUCAUCAUGGCCCUUACGUCCGGGGCUACACACGUGCUACAAUGGAUGGUACAGAGGGCAGCAAGCUGGCAACAGCAAGCGAAUCUCAAAAAGCCAUUCACAGUUCGGAUAGAGGUCUGCAACUCGACCUCUUGAAGUUGGAUUCGCUAGUAAUCGCGUAUCAGCAAUGACGCGGUGAAUACGUUCCCGGGCCUUGUACACACCGCCCGUCAAGCCAUGGAAGUUGGGGGUACCUAAAGUAUGUAACCGUAAGGAGCGUCCUAGGGUAAAACCGAUAACUGGGGCUAAGUCGUAACAAGGUAGCC
This 1483-nucleotide ribosomal RNA is filed under the name uncultured Pedobacter sp. Its description in RNAcentral is "bacterial SSU rRNA". It matches the Rfam family "Bacterial small subunit ribosomal RNA". Lineage: Bacteria; Pseudomonadati; Bacteroidota; Sphingobacteriia; Sphingobacteriales; Sphingobacteriaceae. The record is from RNAcentral.